AUCGCUUCUCGGCCUUUUGGCUCAGAUCAAGUGUAGUAUCUGUUCUUAUCAGUUUAAUAUCUGAUACGUCCCCCAUCGGGGGACUACAUAUUAAAUGGAUUUUUCGAACAGGGAGUCGGAAAUGGGGCUUGCUCCGUCCCGCUCCACGCAUCGACCCGGUAUUGCAGUACCUCCGGGAAUGGUGCAACACUU
Molecule: small nuclear RNA, 192 nt
Filed under: Salmo salar (Atlantic salmon)
Lineage: Eukaryota; Metazoa; Chordata; Actinopteri; Salmoniformes; Salmonidae
Description: U2 spliceosomal RNA (ENSSSAG00000098709.1, ENSSSAG00000113478.1, ENSSSAG00000120591.1)
Rfam family: U2 spliceosomal RNA
About the family: U2 is a small nuclear RNA (snRNA) component of the spliceosome (involved in pre-mRNA splicing). Complementary binding between U2 snRNA (in an area lying towards the 5' end but 3' to hairpin I) and the branchpoint sequence (BPS) of the intron results the bulging out of an unpaired adenosine, on the BPS, which initiates a nucleophilic attack at the intronic 5' splice site, thus starting the first of two transesterification reactions that mediate splicing.
Source: RNAcentral